This is an RNA transcript of Mangifera indica (mango), 1717 nucleotides long. It is a transcript of the gene named leucine carboxyl methyltransferase 1 homolog, with no coding region annotated. NCBI's taxonomy places the organism in Eukaryota, Viridiplantae, Streptophyta, Magnoliopsida, Sapindales, Anacardiaceae. The record is from RefSeq and is a predicted model, not a curated record. The transcript is spliced from 14 exons.
UAGGUCCGUUGGCCAACAAGUUUUGGUCCAAACAUUAGAACGCCGAACACACGUGAUUACUGGGGGGGGGGCCGUGAGGUAGAUUUUGUAACUUCAAUUUCAGUAUCGAAGAUUUAUUUUCAAAAUUUAAAGCGUUAGUUCAGUCAAUAUUUUUAUCCACUACGAGCGAUAACCCUUAAAUCCGAGAGAAUCCCUCACCAACGUCAAUCGGAAGAUGGCCAAUUCCUUUGGUGAUGCGCAGAGUAACAGAGCAGCUGUGCAAGCCACGAACGACGAUGCUUCCGCAAGUAAACUCUCCUGCGUCAAGAAGGGAUACAUGAAAGACGAUUACGUUCAUUUAUUUGUAAGAAGACCUGUGAGGAGAUCUCCAAUAAUUAACCGUGGCUAUUUUGCGCGUUGGGCUGCGCUUAGAAAGCUUCUUUAUCAGUUCCUUGACUGUGAAAGAAGCGUGAAGAAACAGAUUUUAUCACUUGGGGCUGGCUUUGAUACAACAUAUUUUCAGUUGCAGGAUGAGGGAAAAGCGCCCCAUUUAUAUGUAGAGCUGGAUUUCAAAGAGGUAACUAGUAAAAAGGCAGCACUUAUUGAAACCUUUAGUCAAUUGAGAGACAAAGUUGGUGCUGCCGCAUCAAUAUCACCAGAGAAAGGAGAAGUGUUAAGUGAUCAUUACAAGCUACUCCCCGUAGAUUUGCGUAAUAUACCAAAUUUAGAAGAUGUCAUAACUUUGGCUAACAUGGAUCUGAGCCUGCCGACAUUUAUAAUUGCAGAGUGCGUUUUAAUUUACUUGGAUCCUGAUUCAAGUCGUGCUGUUGUUGGUUGGGCUGCAAAAACCUUUUCAACAGCAGUGUUUUUCUUAUAUGAGCAGAUCCUCCCAGAUGAUGCUUUUGGGCAGCAAAUGAUUAGAAAUUUGGCGGGUCGUGGUUGUGCACUUCUUGGAAUUUUUGCUACACCAACAUUACUUGCAAAAGAGAAACUAUUUACUGACCAGGGAUGGCAGAGGGCUGUUGCCUGGGACAUGCUGAAAGUUUAUAGCAAUUUUGUUGAUGCUCAAGAGAGACGCAGGAUUGAACGGCUAGAAUUGUUUGAUGAAUUUGAGGAGUGGCACAUGAUGCAGAGUUGCCUAAAUGUCCUGCUUGGAACUUGGGAGGCUGGCUCAUUGUUCAUAUGGACUGUGGAAUAGUGGUUGCAUUUCCAUGCAAGCUCUUUUAAGGAGCACUACUGCAUUACUUAUGCAAUCAAUGAUACCUUGGGGUUGUUUGGGGAUUUUGGUUUUCCCAAUGACCAAGGCCUUGUGCUCAACUCCCCGUCGCCAGCAUGACAUGAAAGCGAAGCCUGGGGCUACUCUACGGCAUAACUGUAUUGCCAAGUUUGGUUAUACAUUUAAAGAUGGAGAAGCUCGUAUGACUGAUCCAUGCCAGUCUCCUUAGCAGCGGCUUGUCAGGUAGAAAAAGGUCACCCCUGCUACUAAUUAGUCUCUAACUAAAAGUCUCCAAAAGGAUUGAUGACUUGUGUGGAUGGUUUCAGUGUAUUGUUUGUUUUGACUCCAGAGGACAGAUCCUUUUCCCCCUUUUUUUUUUUGUUUUCUGCUAGCUGUUUGGCAAAGAAAACGUGGUGGGACCCGGCAGCACCUAAAGUGUAUCAUUCCUGGGCUUUGUGGGGUCUUCAUCAUGUGGAAAUAGAUGUUCAUUGUUGGUUGCUUUUCAAUGACUAUUUUCUCCUA